CAUAAACCUUGUGUUUAAAUUUCAUUGAUUUCUAUUUACUUAUACUAAAGUUAUUGUGCGAAAACCAAGAAUAAUGCUUAUUUGGGCCCUUUUUGGCCCUUAAUUCCUAAACUGUUGGAACCAAAACUCCCAAAAUCAAUCCCAACCGUCCUUUUGUGGUCAUAAACCUUGUGUCAAAAUUUCAUAGAUUUCUAUUCACUUAAACUAAAGUUAU
RNAcentral lists this long non-coding RNA (214 nucleotides) under Mytilus galloprovincialis (Mediterranean mussel). The record is from RNAcentral. Lineage: Eukaryota; Metazoa; Mollusca; Bivalvia; Mytilida; Mytilidae.